UACGUAGGGUGCAAGCGUUAAUCGGAAUUACUGGGCGUAAAGCGUGCGCAGGCGGUUAUGUAAGACAGGUGUGAAAUCCCCGGGCUUAACCUGGGAACUGCAUUUGUGACUGCAUAGCUAGAGUACGGUAGAGGGGGGGAUGGAAUUCCGCGUGUAGCAGUGAAAUGCGUAGAUAUGCGGAGGAACACCGAUGGCGAAGGCAAUCCCCUGGACCUGUACUGACGCUCAUGCACGAAAGCGUGGGGAGCAAACAGG
Molecule: ribosomal RNA, 255 nt
Filed under: uncultured bacterium
Lineage: Bacteria
Description: partial 16S ribosomal RNA
Rfam family: Bacterial small subunit ribosomal RNA
Source: RNAcentral